RNAcentral lists this unclassified non-coding RNA (334 nucleotides) under soil metagenome. Its description in RNAcentral is "partial contains 5.8S ribosomal RNA, internal transcribed spacer 2, and large subunit ribosomal RNA". The stretch from base 1 to 120 matches the Rfam family "5.8S ribosomal RNA", at positions 35 to 154 of the family's 154-position model. The record is from RNAcentral.
GAUGAAGAACGCAGCGAAAUGCGAUAAGUAAUGUGAAUUGCAGAAUUCAGUGAAUCAUCGAAUCUUUGAACGCACAUUGCGCCCGCCAGUAUUCUGGCGGGCAUGCCUGUUCGAGCGUCAUUUCAACCAUCAAGCCCUGCUUGCGUUGGGGUCCUGCGGCUGCCCGCAGGCCCUGAAAACCAGUGGCGGGCUCGCUAGUCACACCGAGCGCAGUAAUACAUCUCGCUUUGGGCGUGCGGCGGGUUCUUGCCGUUAAACACCCCCUUUUUACCAAGGUUGACCUCGGAUCAGGUAGGAACACCCGCUGAACUUAAGCAUAUCAAUAAGCGGAGGA